CCAGACUCCUACGGGAGGCAGCAGUGGGGAAUCUUCCGCAAUGGGCGCAAGCCUGACGGAGCAACGCCGCGUGAGUGAAGAAGGUCUUCGGAUCGUAAAGCUCUGUUGAUGGGGACGAACGUGCCGAAUGCGAAUAGUUUUAGGCAAUGACGGUACCCAUCGAGGAAGCCACGGCUAACUACGUGCCAGCAGCCGCGGUAAUACGUAGGUGGCGAGCGUUGUCCGGAAUCAUUGGGCGUAAAGGGAGCGCAGGCGGGCAUGUAAGUCUUUCUUAAAAGUGCGGGGCUCAACCCCGUGAUGGGAAAGAAACUAUGUGUCUUGAGUACAGGAGAGGAAAGCGGAAUUCCCAGUGUAGCGGUGAAAUGCGUAGAUAUUGGGAGGAACACCAGUGGCGAAGGCGGCUUUCUGGACUGCAACUGACGCUGAGGCUCGAAAGCCAGGGGAGCGAACGGGAUUAGAUACCCCGGUAGUCCUGGCCGUAAACGAUGGAUACUAGGUGUGGGAGGUAUCGACCCCUACCGUGCCGGAGUUAACGCAAUAAGUAUCCCGCCUGGGGAGUACGGCCGCAAGGCUGAAACUCAAAGGAAUUGACGGGGGCCCGCACAAG
RNAcentral lists this ribosomal RNA (607 nucleotides) under uncultured bacterium. RNAcentral's name for it is "bacterial SSU rRNA". It matches the Rfam family "Bacterial small subunit ribosomal RNA", at positions 331 to 929 of the family's 1533-position model. The record is from RNAcentral.